This 253-nucleotide ribosomal RNA is filed under the name uncultured bacterium. RNAcentral describes it as "partial 16S ribosomal RNA". It matches the Rfam family "Bacterial small subunit ribosomal RNA", at positions 524 to 776 of the family's 1533-position model. The record is from RNAcentral.
UACGGAGGGUGCAAGCGUUGCUCGGAAUUACUGGGCGUAAAGCGUACGCAGGCUGCUUGCUAAGUCGGGUGUGAAAGCCCGGGGCUCAACCCCGGAAUUGCGCCCGAAACUGGCGAGCUUGAGUGCGGGAGAGGGAAGCGGAAUUCCUGGUGUAGAGGUGAAAUUCGUAGAUAUCAGGAGGAACACCGGUGGCGAAAGCGGCUUCCUGGCCCGACACUGACGCUCAUGUACGAAAGCGUGGGGAGCAAACAGG